RNAcentral lists this ribosomal RNA (428 nucleotides) under Chloroflexota bacterium. Its description in RNAcentral is "Chloroflexi bacterium partial 16S ribosomal RNA". It matches the Rfam family "Bacterial small subunit ribosomal RNA", at positions 355 to 776 of the family's 1533-position model. Lineage: Bacteria; Bacillati; Chloroflexota. The record is from RNAcentral.
UGGGGAAUAUUGCACAAUGGGCGCAAGCCUGAUGCAGCCAUGCCGCGUGUAUGAAGAAGGCCUUCGGGUUGUAAAGUACUUUCAGUCGGGAGGAAGGUGGUAAGGUUAAUAACCUUAUCAAUUGACGUUACCGACAGAAGAAGCACCGGCUAACUCCGUGCCAGCAGCCGCGGUAAUACGGAGGGUGCAAGCGUUAAUCGGAAUUACUGGGCGUAAAGCGCACGCAGGCGGUUUGUUAAGUCAGAUGUGAAAUCCCCGGGCUCAACCUGGGAACUGCAUCUGAUACUGGCAAGCUUGAGUCUCGAGAGGGGGGUAGAAUUCCAGGUGUAGCGGUGAAAUGCGUAGAGAUCUGGAGGAAUACCGGUGGCGAAGGCGGCCCCCUGGACGAAGACUGACGCUCAGGUGCGAAAGCGUGGGGAGCAAACAGG